RNAcentral lists this ribosomal RNA (486 nucleotides) under uncultured soil bacterium. RNAcentral describes it as "bacterial SSU rRNA". It matches the Rfam family "Bacterial small subunit ribosomal RNA", at positions 26 to 507 of the family's 1533-position model. The record is from RNAcentral.
AGAUUGAACGCUGGCGGCAGGCCUAACACAUGCAAGUCGAGCGGCAGCACGGGUACUUGUACCUGGUGGCGAGCGGCGGACGGGUGAGUAAUGCCUAGGAAUCUGCCUGGUAGUGGGGGAUAACGCUCGGAAACGGACGCUAAUACCGCAUACGUCCUACGGGAGAAAGCAGGGGACCUUCGGGCCUUGCGCUAUCAGAUGAGCCUAGGUCGGAUUAGCUAGUUGGUGAGGUAAUGGCUCACCAAGGCGACGAUCCGUAACUGGUCUGAGAGGAUGAUCAGUCACACUGGAACUGAGACACGGUCCAGACUCCUACGGGAGGCAGCAGUGGGGAAUAUUGGACAAUGGGCGAAAGCCUGAUCCAGCCAAUGCCGCGUGUGUGAAGAAGGUCUUCGGAUUGUAAAGCACUUUAAGUUGGAGGAAGGCAGUUACCUAAUACGUAUCUGUUUUGACGUUACGACAGAAUAAGCACGGCUAAACUCUGUG